UGGGGAAUAUUGCACAAUGGGCGAAAGCCUGAUGCAGCCAUGCCGCGUGUAUGAAGAAGGCCUUCGGGUUGUAAAGUACUUUCAGUCGUGAGGAAGGGUGUGUAGUUAAUAGCUGCAUAUCUUGACGUUAGCGACAGAAGAAGCACCGGCUAACUCCGUG
This 160-nucleotide ribosomal RNA is filed under the name uncultured bacterium. Its description in RNAcentral is "partial 16S ribosomal RNA". It matches the Rfam family "Bacterial small subunit ribosomal RNA", at positions 355 to 507 of the family's 1533-position model. The record is from RNAcentral.